AUUGAACGCUGGCGGCAGGCUUAACACAUGCAAGUCGAGCGGGGUGAUGGUGCUUGCACUAUCACUUAGCGGCGGACGGGUGAGUAAUGCUUAGGAAUCUGCCUAUUAGUGGGGGACAACAUCUCGAAAGGGAUGCUAAUACCGCAUACGUCCUACGGGAGAAAGCAGGGGAUCACUUGUGACCUUGCGCUAAUAGAUGAGCCUAAGUCGGAUUAGCUAGUUGGUGGGGUAAAGGCCUACCAAGGCGACGAUCUGUAGCGGGUCUGAGAGGAUGAGCCGCCACACUGGGACUGAGGCACGGCCCAGACUCCUACGGGAGGCAGCAGUGGGGAAUAUUGGANNANGGGGGGAACCCUGAUCCAGCCAUGCCGCGUGUGUGAAGAAGGCCUUAUGGUUGUAAAGCACUUUAAGCGAGGAGGAGGCUCUUUUGGUUAAUACCCNAGAUGAGUGGACGUUACUCGCAGAAUAAGCACCGGCUAACUCUGUGCCAGCCGCCGCAGUAA
Molecule: ribosomal RNA, 503 nt
Filed under: uncultured bacterium
Lineage: Bacteria
Description: partial 16S ribosomal RNA
Rfam family: Bacterial small subunit ribosomal RNA
Source: RNAcentral